RNAcentral lists this long non-coding RNA (863 nucleotides) under Homo sapiens (human). RNAcentral's name for it is "HSALNT0037201". The record is from RNAcentral. Lineage: Eukaryota; Metazoa; Chordata; Mammalia; Primates; Hominidae.
CCGGGGGUUGUGGUGACUGAAGGGCCCAGGCAGGACUCUGGAAGCACUGGUAACAGUUUGUCACUUGAUCUGGAUGAACACCAGCGUGUUCCGUUUUGGAAAUCCUUUCAGCUGUACUUACCCUAAGUUUUCAAAAGCCUCUUGGUUUCCAGUAGGUUGUACCUGCCUUUGCGGAUCUCACAGAAUCCGCCCAUUUGUUCAGUUUCUAGGAUCAGGGAACACUUGCCUUCCAUUUUUAUUAUUUCAGGCCUCACACAUGCAAAUCUAACUGGCCAGGACUGACCCAGAAGGAGGGAGAGCUCUGGUCCAUGGGUCUCCCCUCCCCAACUGGCAGGCUUUGGUCAACAGCGCUCAGAAUGAAAGGAAGGUGGUGGUGCUGGCUUUCAAGUCUCCUCCAAAUGCAACUGACCCAGGUCUGCCUGUCCUCCAUUAGCUUUUGCUCGUUGGAGAGGGAUAACACACCGCUAAGAAAAAGACUUGUUCUGAGAGUGAGGACUGCCCCCGGAUUUUGUAACCAGUUGCAACCACCUGAAAGCAGCUCUGGGGAAGAGGUCAUUGAAGAGUCUUUCCAGGUGGAAAGCGAAGUAAAUGAACUCUGGGGUGGUGUCUCCCAACUCUCACUUCCAGCUCUCCUGUGUUUGUAGACUCUGUGUUCCUAAACAAGGGAAAAUACAGCCACAACCUCCAAAGGACAAGUGCUUAUUCAUUCCUUUAAUUUAUCUUUAUUGAGGAUGUUCCAUGUACAGUGGAAGAAAAAUUGAAAGUGAAUAAAGGAAGCUGAAGAUGUUUAAAGAUAUAGUUGAGAAAUCUAAAGCCUAAUGAAUUGUUUUAGAAGAGGAGUUUAAACAAAAUAGGACUACUCA